Molecule: ribosomal RNA, 253 nt
Filed under: uncultured bacterium
Lineage: Bacteria
Description: partial 16S ribosomal RNA
Rfam family: Bacterial small subunit ribosomal RNA
Source: RNAcentral
UACGUAGGGUGCAAGCGUUGUCCGGAAUUAUUGGGCGUAAAGAGCUCGUAGGCGGUUUGUCGCGUCUGCUGUGAAAACUCGGGGCUUAACUCCGGGCCUGCAGUGGAUACGGGCAGACUAGAGUCAGGUAGGGGAGAACGGAAUUCCUGGUGUAGCGGUGAAAUGCGCAGAUAUCAGGAGGAACACCGGUGGCGAAGGCGGUUCUCUGGGCCUGUACUGACGCUGAGGAACGGAAGCGUGGGGAGCGAACAGG